Molecule: long non-coding RNA, 1640 nt
Organism: Thamnophis elegans (Western terrestrial garter snake)
Lineage: Eukaryota; Metazoa; Chordata; Lepidosauria; Squamata; Natricidae
Exons: 2
Source: RefSeq, a predicted model, not a curated record
CACAACAUUUCUGCGCAACCUUUUCGACACUCGAAAAGGUUCACCAUCACUGUUAUACGCAAUCAACAAAGCUUGGUAACUUCCUGGGAAGAAUUCAUUCGUGCGAAGUCUUUGAUUUCAUAUAAAACUUCAUAUAAGAUUGCGUGAGACUGAGAGCAGGUUGGUCCUCUUAACUGACGUGUGACAGUUGUGAGGACCGUGCAGAAUUCCAAUAUCAAUAUCAAUAGUGACUACUUAAAGUCAAGCUUUCAUUGGCCCUGAUGAAUAGCGCAAGUUUGCCUAGAUCUCAAAAUGAUACGAGAGAUUAUUUGCCUUAUUCCGCUCUGUUCAAGCCAGCGAUAUUAUAUCACUUCCAUUCAGCAAAACGUUCUUUUAUUUGGAAGCCUUUAACGGGAGGAUUGUGGGGUAUCUAUGGCUAGACAAAAUAGUUAUUUUGGUCUAAAAAGACCUAAGAAAAUGUUCCAACUUAUUUUCGUGGGUUUUGUUUCUUUUUAAGCCAGAAGAAGCCUUGGCAGCCUGCCUGGUCCUGAAAGCAAGAAAGGAGAGCCGGAGUAAUUUAACCCUUUGCUCUUGUCUUCUUUUUUCUUUCUUUCUCUUUUCUCCUGCCAUCACGCGUCUCUGACAUUUCCCCCUGCAGAUUAAAAAAAACAAGGGCCCGGAGAGAUGAAAAGCAACCUGAAGGGAAAACUCAAAAGAGCUUCCUCUCACGACCAGGCCUUACUUCGUUCAGACUGACUACCUCCUGAGGUUGCUUUAGGCUUUCAAAAAUAGAGAAGACUCCAGAAGGGAAGCAUGUGGAAAGAGAUUAAUCAUAGUUUCAAUGGGGAAACUUUGAGCUUCCUAGACUAAACCAAGUCCAAAAAAUAUGCUAGAGAAUUCCUGGAAGCCUGGCUCUCAGACAAAGCACCCAUCAACAGGCACAGAGAGAUAAACAAACUCUACAUACCAUUCAAAAGAGACUACCAAAAAAAGCCCAAAAGGAAACAACAUGACCUAACCACCUCCUCACCAGCACUCAACACUCAGAGGAGCAGAAUGUCAAGAUUAACACUAGACCAACAACUAAGAAGCAAACAGUAUCCUAGUCAAGCAACUACCGACUCAAAACGAACAAGCUAACUGCAAACAGCAGCCCACUCAAGGAAACACCAGAUCUAUUCCCAUCCACAAUGAAAGGGCAAGCCACUAGUAUAUUAAAUGAGACAUAACGCUACUUCUUUAUUAGCAAUGAUGAGGUUACCUAGUUUGGUAAUGAAAUGCCUGCAGGAAAACAACUGGGAAAGCACCAAGGGCCCCACAAUUCGACACAGAACUAGAAAUGUUCUCUUCUAUCUGUACAGUAAUCUACCAGUAACUCAGGCAAUGAAGCAGUCUUGGCAACUUCCUUUGAAGAAUUCACUCAUAUGAAACUUUUUGAUUCCAUAUAAGGAUGUGGACUGAGAGCAGAGAAGAGUUGGGUUUUUUUUUUACCUACAUGCAACAAUAGUAAUGGCUAUGCAGAGGUCCAUGUCAUGCUUAGUUUGAUCCCAACAUGGUUGGGUGCAGGUUUCAUGCUGGAGGGUGCUAUUUAUUCAAUCAGUGGCUUGUAAGGAAAAGCCUUUGGCUCUUGUGGAAAUAAAAUAACUUAUGCAAUGACCUUA